UACGUAGGGCGCAAGCGUUGUCCGGAAUCAUUGGGCGUAAAGCGCGCGUAGGUGGCUUCGUAAGUCCGUUGUGAAAGUCAAAGGCUCAACCUUUGAAUGCCGAUGGAUACUGCGAAGCUAGAGUACGGAAGAGGCGAGUGGAAUUCCUGGUGUAGCGGUGGAAUGCGCAGAUAUCAGGAGGAACACCAAUAGCGAAGGCAGCUCGCUGGGACGUUACUGACACUAAGGCGCGAAAGCGUGGGGAGCGAACAGG
This 253-nucleotide ribosomal RNA is filed under the name uncultured bacterium. RNAcentral's name for it is "partial 16S ribosomal RNA". It matches the Rfam family "Bacterial small subunit ribosomal RNA", at positions 524 to 776 of the family's 1533-position model. The record is from RNAcentral.